RNAcentral lists this ribosomal RNA (200 nucleotides) under uncultured bacterium. Its description in RNAcentral is "partial 16S ribosomal RNA". It matches the Rfam family "Bacterial small subunit ribosomal RNA", at positions 29 to 258 of the family's 1533-position model. The record is from RNAcentral.
AGCGAACGCUGGCGGCAGGCCUAACACACGCAAGUCGAACGAUCCUUCGGGAUAGUGGCGGACGGGUGAGUAACACGUGGGAACGUGCCCUUUGGUUCGGAAUAACUCAGGGAAACUUGAGCUAAUACCGGAUGAGCCCUUCGGGGGAAAGAUUUAUCGCCAUUGGAGCGGCCCGCGUUGGAUUAGCUAGUUGGUGGGGU